UUAUACGCAGAUGUGUUAAACGGCAUAAAAUUUUAAAAACACACAUCACAUUUUGUAUCAGAAUGUACCACCUGAUUUGUAGGUGAGCAAAAAUACUGGAACACGUGACUGACGGGCGUUUCUUGUUGCCCAGGUGUGUCCAGUUACACUGAAUGUCUAAAUGAUUAAUAGCUCUGAACGUCUUACUCUUGGUUGCAGCCUUCAGUUUCAUCUGUGAAGACUGUAAUUUUUGUUAAAAAGGAUAAACCGACAUGAAGAUCAGAGAGAUGUCUAUGGGAAAAGGAACCUGAAUUAGAAAGAAACCACAGGUGUAUGGAGUAACAGUACCUCCUCCACAGAGCAGGGGUGAAGGCAACACAAUGUUUUUGUUUGCUUUUAAUGCACACAAAAAUUCAGUCUGUGCACUUUUAAUAAAACUCCAGGACUAAUUAUUGUGUGGAAAAUAUCUAUUUUUUCCAUUUGUACAUUUGGAGAGAGAAACAUCUGCAAUCUGACAUCUUUAAGGGUCGAGGGGAACCUGGAGCCUAUCCCAGGGAGCAUCGGGCACAAGGCGGGGUUCACCCUGAAAGGGUGCCAAUUCAUCGCAGGGCACACAAUCACACACACAUUCAUACACGACGGACACUUUGGAUUCGCUACUCAGCCUACAGCGCAUGUCUUCGGACUGGGGGAGGAAAGCGGAGUACCCGGAGGAAACCCCCGCAGCACGGGGAGAACAUGCAAACUCCGCACACACAGGGCCACGGCGGGAAUCGAACCCCGAACCUGGAGGUGUGAGGCGAACGUGUUAACCACUAAGCCACCGUGCACCCCCCACGAUAAUCCAAAAGAUCAAAAUAAAAAAUGUAAAAAAAAAAUACUUGACACGUGUCAGGAGUACAGGAAAUUGCUCUGCCUCACGCUCUGACUCAUGCAGUCCAGCUGAUAAAGAGCUUCGUAAAUCAGCUGGUAAGCUGAAUCAGGUGCAUUUAGCGAGGAGGACACGCUAAUCAGAGCAAAGUGUAAAUAGGCUAAAGGUUGCUGAAAGGCAG
Long non-coding RNA from Ictalurus punctatus (channel catfish), 1031 nucleotides. The record is from Ensembl. NCBI's taxonomy places the organism in Eukaryota, Metazoa, Chordata, Actinopteri, Siluriformes, Ictaluridae.